Molecule: ribosomal RNA, 1431 nt
Filed under: Staphylococcus pseudintermedius
Lineage: Bacteria; Bacillati; Bacillota; Bacilli; Caryophanales; Staphylococcaceae
Description: partial 23S ribosomal RNA
Rfam family: Bacterial large subunit ribosomal RNA
Source: RNAcentral
AUCUCCUAAGGCUAAAUACUCUCUAGUGACCGAUAGUGAACCAGUACCGUGAGGGAAAGGUGAAAAGUACCCCGGAAGGGGAGUGAAAGAGAACUUGAAACCGUGUGCUUACAAGUAGUCAGAGCCCGUUAAUGGGUGAUGGCGUGCCUUUUGUAGAAUGAACCGGCGAGUUACGAUCUGAUGCAAGGUUAAGCAGAAAAUGUGGAGCCGUAGCGAAAGCGAGUCUGAAUAGGGCGAAUGAGUAUUUGGUCGUAGACCCGAAACCAGGUGAUCUACCCUUGGUCAGGUUGAAGUUCAGGUAACACUGAAUGGAGGACCGAACCGACUUACGUUGAAAAGUGAGCGGAUGAACUGAGGGUAGCGGAGAAAUUCCAAUCGAACUUGGAGAUAGCUGGUUCUCUCCGAAAUAGCUUUAGGGCUAGCCUCAAGUGAUGAUUAUUGGAGGUAGAGCACUGUUUGGACGAGGGGCCCCUCUCGGGUUACCGAAUUCAGACAAACUCCGAAUGCCAAAUAAUUUAACUUGGGAGUCAGAAUGUGGGUGAUAAGGUCCAUAUUCGAAAGGGAAACAGCCCAGACCACCAGCUAAGGUCCCAAAAUAUAUGUUAAGUGGAAAAGGAUGUGGCGUUGCCCAGACAACUAGGAUGUUGGCUUAGAAGCAGCCAUCAUUUAAAGAGUGCGUAAUAGCUCACUAGUCGAGUGACACUGCGCCGAAAAUGUACCGGGGCUAAACAUAUUACCGAAGCUGUGGAUUGUCCUUUGGACAAUGGUAGGAGAGCGUUCUAAGGGCGUUGAAGCAUGAUCGCAAGGACAUGUGGAGCGCUUAGAAGUGAGAAUGCCGGUGUGAGUAGCGAAAGACGGGUGAGAAUCCCGUCCACCGAUUGACUAAGGUUUCCAGAGGAAGGCUCGUCCGCUCUGGGUUAGUCGGGUCCUAAGCUGAGGCCGACAGGCGUAGGCGAUGGAUAACAGGUUGAUAUUCCUGUACCACCAUUAUUCGUUUUAAGCGAUGGGGGGACGCAGUAGGAUAGGCGAAGCGUGCUGUUGGAGUGCACGUCCAAGCAGUGAGAUUGAGUGUUAGGCAAAUCCGGCACUCUUAAGAUUGAGCUGUGAUGGGGAGAGGAACUUGUUCCUCGAGUCGUUGAUUUCACACUGCCGAGAAAAGCCUCUAGCUAGAAUAACGGUGCCCGUACCGCAAACCGACACAGGUAGUCAAGAUGAGAAUUCUAAGGUGAGCGAGCGAACUCUCGUUAAGGAACUCGGCAAAAUGACCCCGUAACUUCGGGAGAAGGGGUGCUCUUUGAGGUUCACGCUUCGAAGAGCCGCAGUGAAUAGGCCCAAGCGACUGUUUAUCAAAAACACAGGUCUCUGCUAAACCGUAAGGUGACGUAUAGGGGCUGACGCCUGCCCGGUGCUGGAAGGUUAAGAGGAGUGGUU